CUACGGGGGGCUCCAGUGAGGAAUAUUGCACAAUGGGGGGAACCCUGAUGCAGCAACGCCGCGUGGAGGAUGACGCAUUUCGGUGUGUAAACUCCUUUUAUAUGUCAAGAAAAUGACGGUAGCAUAUGAAUAAGCACCGGCUAACUCCGUGCCAGCAGCCGCGGUAAUACGGAGGGUGCAAGCGUUACUCGGAAUCACUGGUGCGUAAAGGACGCGUAGGCGGGUUGGAAAGUCAGGUGUGAAAUCCUACAGCUUAACUGUAGAACUGCACUUGAAACUUCUAAUCUAGAGUAUGGGAGGGGGAGAUGGAAUUAGUGGUGUAGGGGUAAAAUCCGUAGAUAUCACUAGGAAUACCUAAAGCGAAGGCGAUCUCCUGGAACAUUACUGACGCUAAGGCGUGAAAGCGUGGGGAGCAAACAGGAUUAGAUACCCUUGUAGUC
RNAcentral lists this ribosomal RNA (440 nucleotides) under uncultured bacterium. RNAcentral describes it as "partial 16S ribosomal RNA". It matches the Rfam family "Bacterial small subunit ribosomal RNA", at positions 339 to 795 of the family's 1533-position model. The record is from RNAcentral.